ACUCCUACGGGAGGCAGCAGUGGGGAAUAUUGCACAAUGGGCGCAAGCCUGAUGCAGCCAUGCCGCGUGUAUGAAGAAGGCCUUCGGGUUGUAAAGUACUUUCUAGUCGUGAGGAAGGCGGCGUCGUUAAUAGCGGCGUUGUUUGACGUUAGCGACAGAAGAAGCACCGGCUAACUCCGUGCCAGCAGCCGCGGUAAUACGGAGGGUGCGAGCGUUAAUCGGAAUUACUGGGCGUAAAGCGCAUGCAGGUGGUUUGUUAAGUCAGAUGUGAAAGCCCGGGGCUCAACCUCGGAAUUGCAUUUGAAACUGGCAGACUAGAGUACUGUAGAGGGGGUAGAAUUUCAGGUGUAGCGGUGAAAUGCGUAGAGAUCUGAAGGAAUACCGGUGGCGAAGGCGGCCCCUGGACAGAUACUGACACUCAGAUGCGAAAGCGUGGGAGCAAACAGGAUUAGAUACCCCGUGGUAGGACAGUG
Molecule: ribosomal RNA, 473 nt
Filed under: uncultured bacterium
Lineage: Bacteria
Description: bacterial SSU rRNA
Rfam family: Bacterial small subunit ribosomal RNA
Source: RNAcentral